This 334-nucleotide ribosomal RNA is filed under the name uncultured bacterium. Its description in RNAcentral is "bacterial SSU rRNA". It matches the Rfam family "Bacterial small subunit ribosomal RNA", at positions 8 to 334 of the family's 1533-position model. The record is from RNAcentral.
AGAGUUUGAUCCUGGCUCAGGAUGAACGCUAGCUACAGGCUUAACACAUGCAAGUCGAGGGGCAGCAUCAUCAAAGCUUGCUUUGAUGGAUGGCGACCGGCGCACGGGUGAGUAACACGUAUCCAACCUGCCGAUAACUCGGGGAUAGCCUUUCGAAAGAAAGAUUAAUACCCGAUGGCAUAAUUAGACCGCAUGGUCUUAUUAUUAAAGAAUUUCGGUUAUCGAUGGGGAUGCGUUCCAUUAGGCAGUUGGUGAGGUAACGGCUCACCAAACCUUCGAUGGAUAGGGGUUCUGAGAGGAAGGUCCCCCACAUUGGAACUGAGACACGGUCCAA